AUGAGAGGUUUCUUCCUCAUCCUUAGCUCUGGCCGCCAUCUCUUUAGUCAUCACAAAGUCUUUCGCAGUACCUUUCCAGCCUUGGUCGUCGUCGUUGUUGUUGGAGCAAGCGUGAUGUUAGAAAUUUUACAUAAGAGACAGUUGAGGGUGCGAGGUUGGAGCAGUGCAACAGGCUUUAUAGCAGCCUGUUUUAUAGAAGUUUUUUAG
This is a non-coding RNA of Vicia faba (fava bean), 207 nucleotides long. Lineage: Eukaryota; Viridiplantae; Streptophyta; Magnoliopsida; Fabales; Fabaceae. The record is from the annotation of a GenBank genome assembly.